CCCUUAGAUGUUCUGGGCCGCACGCGCGCUACACUGACGAAUGCAACGAGCUUAUAACCUUGGCCGAAAGGUCUGGGUAAUCUCCAAAUUUCGUCGUGAUGGGGAUAGAUUAUUGCAAUUAUUAAUCUUCAACGAGGAAUGCCUAGUAAGCGCAAGUCAUCAGCUUGCGUUGAUUACGUCCCCGCCCUUUGUACACACCGCCCGUCGCUCCUACCGAUUGAAUGGUCCGGUGAAGCGUUCGGACCGUGGCCUUUGGACGGUUCGCCGUCUGUUGGCUGCGGGAAGUUCGUUAAACCUUAUCAUUUAGAGGAAGGAGAANUCGUAACA
Molecule: ribosomal RNA, 327 nt
Filed under: uncultured eukaryote
Lineage: Eukaryota
Description: partial 18S ribosomal RNA
Rfam family: Eukaryotic small subunit ribosomal RNA
Source: RNAcentral